CCUACGGGUGGCAGCAGUGGGGAAUAUUGGACAAUGGGGGCAACCCUGAUCCAGCCAUGCCGCGUGUGUGAAGAAGGCCCUCGGGUUGUAAAGCACUUUCAGUGAGGAAGAACGCCUGGUGGUUAAUACCCAUCAGGAAAGACAUCACUCACAGAAGAAGCACCGGCUAACUCCGUGCCAGCAGCCGCGGUAAUACGGAGGGUGCGAGCGUUAAUCGGAAUUACUGGGCGUAAAGCGCGCGUAGGUGGCUUGAUAAGCCGGUUGUGAAAGCCCCGGGCUCAACCUGGGAACGGCAUCCGGAACUGUCAAGCUAGAGUGCAGGAGAGGAAGGUAGAAUUCCCGGUGUAGCGGUGAAAUGCGUAGAGAUCGGGAGGAACACCAGUGGCGAAGGCGGCCUUCUGGACUGCAACUGACACUGAGGUGCGAAAGCGUGGGUAGCAAACAGGAUUAGAUACCCUAGUAGUC
This 465-nucleotide ribosomal RNA is filed under the name Vreelandella stevensii. RNAcentral describes it as "partial 16S ribosomal RNA". It matches the Rfam family "Bacterial small subunit ribosomal RNA", at positions 338 to 795 of the family's 1533-position model. Lineage: Bacteria; Pseudomonadati; Pseudomonadota; Gammaproteobacteria; Oceanospirillales; Halomonadaceae. The record is from RNAcentral.